This is a long non-coding RNA of Sapajus apella (tufted capuchin), 1985 nucleotides long. RefSeq lists it as uncharacterized. The record is from RefSeq and is a predicted model, not a curated record. The transcript is spliced from 4 exons. NCBI's taxonomy places the organism in Eukaryota, Metazoa, Chordata, Mammalia, Primates, Cebidae.
GCGUUGCAGCCCAGGCCGGAGGUCGGUGGCUGGGGAGGGGAGCGCCACCUCCGAGCUUCCGGGAGCGACCCGAAGAGCCUGGCGGCCGCCACACCAUUUCUCAGAACCGUUGGGGAAAACUCCAGCCGUUCUGUCGCGGGAGCAUCAAGCCCUUGGGGUUCUGUGAAAGUUAUCUGUACAGUGUAUCUAACGCAGGAGAAUCUUGCUGCUUUCCUGUGAUUUACCAACCAGAGAUUCUAAUGUGAUAUGUUUGGAGUGAAGUUAUCAAUCUGCAUUUUUAAUAGGCAUCCUCCAGGUUUCUACCGUCUGUGGAACAUGGAAUCAAACCAGAAUAUGUUGGCACAACAGGCCAGUAAAACCGGUUCUUCUGUAGAUCCAGAACCUGUCCAACCAGUCUGUAUCAAAGGCUAGCCCAACAUGCUGCAGCGGCUCAGCUCUGCUAAGCUUGUACUGGGUGCUGCUUUAGAAGCUCCAGACUUUGGACUUGGCAUUCUUCCAGUGAUGACAGUGGCUGCACACUCCAUGGAGCCAGUGGGAGCCCCACCCCUUCUGAGUUAGAGUGGGAACACCCGGCAUGCCGCUGCCCCUGCCCAAAUUGUGGCUGCAGACCCAGGCCUCCUGCUCUGUGGAGCAGGCAGAAAGAAGCCCUGCCCUCCUGGGUGGGGCCACAGCCCCCCAAACUGCAGUUGUAGAUUGGAGCCUCCCAGUGCUCUUGGGUGGGGGCCGGGAACAGGCAGGAUCUGACCUCCUGGGUGCAGCUGUAGUGGCCAGGUCCAAGGCUACAAACUUGGGGCUCCUGUUUCAUGGAGCAGGAACUGGGGACAAACAGGAGCCCUGCCUGCUUCCAAGUUGAUGGUGAGGGAGCUCCCACCCUCCCAGGUGCAGGACCCUGGUGUCCCUGCAGCCUGUAUCCUGGGCACCCCAGGAAAACCCCUUCCCUCUCCUCUCCCAGUGUCUGCUAGGAUCUCUGAGUGGGGCUGGGGCCAAGCCCUGGGGCCUGCAUGGCAGCAAGAGGUAAAGUCCUGGGUGGAAGGGGUGGCCCCAGUAAGGCCCCACCUUCAGGCAGGGAAGAGCCUGAAGGCUGUAGGCUGGGCUGCCAGUCCUGUGUAUGGGUGUGAGUAGUCGUGGGGCCUCUUUUGGGCCACUCAUGGCCCAUGGACCAAUAGAUACAAAAAACCCUGGGCUCAGCCAAAGCAGGGCAGAGGAUGGCCAGGGAAACAGAGGAGAGAAAGAGAGGAUGGGAUGACCAGUUGCAGAGAGGAGCUACCUUCUCUGCUGAGAGCUGCAGAGACAACUUGCUGGCAGAGAGGAGCCAUUCUCUCCAGGGCCUCCUCUCUGUGGAGAGCUGAAGAGCUGUAGACAUCAGGAUGACCAGUUGCAGAGAGGAGCUAUCCUCUCCAGAACCACCUAUCUGCUGAGGACUGAAUACCCCACGGAUGACCUGCCUACAGAGAGGAGCUACCCACUGCAGGUCUCCUCUGAGCUGUUGUGACACCCAGUAAAGCUUAUUUUUGUCUUGUUCACCCUUUACUUGUCUGCAUACCUCAUUCUUCCUGGACUCAGGACAAGAACUUGGGCAAAGGUGCUGUAGCCAUAGAGGUUUCUGGCCAGAAUAUCUACACUCCAAAGAUCCUGUAACAACAGGACGUGACUUCUAAUGUUUCUUCUGAUCCUUGUACAUCUUCUUUCUUCAGGAAGGAGGCACCUGUCCCCUUACUCUGACCUGAAGCCUUGUAAGAGUAUCAGCAUGACUCUUUCUCACUCAAGUUCCCACCAAUGUGGAAGAACCAGACAUCCUGAUUCUGAAAUAUUUUUGCCCACAUUAUUUCCCAGGACUGAGUUGAGUAGUUAAUAGGGCAGAUAUCUAGGCAUAGGAUCACACUGAUGUGGAAUAUUAUGCUACCUUUGACUUAUUCUAGUUAUUUAAGUACAUAGAAUUGGAUAAAUUAUAGUCCUUGCUUCAUAAAAUACUAUUGUCAUUGUUU